CCUACGGGAUGCAGCAGUGAGGAAUAUUGGUCAAUGGACGAGAGUCUGAACCAGCCAAGUAGCGUGAAGGAUGACUGCCCUAUGGGUUGUAAACUUCUUUUAUAUGGGAAUAAAAUGUUCCACGUGUGGGAUUUUGUAUGUACCAUAUGAAUAAGGAUCGGCUAACUCCGUGCCAGCAGCCGCGGUAAUACGGAGGAUCCGAGCGUUAUCCGGAUUUAUUGGGUUUAAAGGGAGCGUAGGUGGAUUGGUAAGUCAGUUGUGAAAGUUUGCGGCUCAACCGUAAAAUUGCAGUUGAAACUGUCAGUCUUGAGUACAGGAGAGGUGGGCGGAAUUCGUGGUGUAGCGGUGAAAUGCUUAGAUAUCACGAAGAACUCCGAUUGCGAAGGCAGUUCACUGGACUGCAACUGACACUGAGGCUCGAAAGUGUGGGUAUCAAACAGGAUUAGAUACCCUAGUAGUC
Molecule: ribosomal RNA, 460 nt
Filed under: uncultured bacterium
Lineage: Bacteria
Description: partial 16S ribosomal RNA
Rfam family: Bacterial small subunit ribosomal RNA
Source: RNAcentral